CCACAUGAUGACACAACGCAUUUGUUAUACUUAUUUCUGGUACCUCUUAUUUCAGAGCUAGUGUUUUCGGAUGCUAGCUCAAUGAGUUAAUCGGACUUCUGAUC
This 104-nucleotide small nucleolar RNA is filed under the name Penicillium vulpinum. RNAcentral's name for it is "A. fumigatus snoRNA Afu_264". It matches the Rfam family "A. fumigatus snoRNA Afu_264". Lineage: Eukaryota; Fungi; Ascomycota; Eurotiomycetes; Eurotiales; Aspergillaceae. The record is from Rfam by way of RNAcentral.